Molecule: ribosomal RNA, 496 nt
Filed under: uncultured bacterium
Lineage: Bacteria
Description: partial 16S ribosomal RNA
Rfam family: Bacterial small subunit ribosomal RNA
Source: RNAcentral
AUGAACGCUGGCGGCGUGCCUAAUCCAUGCAAGUCGAGCGAACGGACGAGAAGCUUGCUUCUCUGAUGUUAGCGGCGGACGGGUGAGUAACACGUGGAUAACCUACCUAUAAGACUGGGAUAACUUCGGGAAACCGUAGCUAAUACCGGAUAAUAUUUUGAACCGCAUGGUUCAAAAGUGAAAGACGGUCUUGCUGUCACUUAUAGAUGGAUCCGCGCUGCAUUAGCUAGUUGGUAAGGUAACGGCUUACCAAGGCAACGAUGCAUAGCCGACCUGAGAGGGUGAUCGGCCACACUGGAACUGAGACAUGGUCCAGACUCCUACGGGAGGCAGCAGUAGGGAAUCUUCCGCAAUGGGCGAAAGCCUGACGGAGCAACGCCGCGUGAGUGAUGAAGGUCUUCGGAUCGUAAAACUCUGUUAUUAGGGAAGAACAUAUGUGUAAGUAACUGUGCACAUCUUGACGGUACCUAAUCAGAAAGCCACGGCUAACUACGUG